GGGUGAGUAAUGCCUASGAAUCUGCCUGGYAGUGGGGGACRACGUUUCGAAAGGAACGCUAAUACCGCAUACGUCCUACRGGAGAAAGCAGGGGACCUUCRGGCCUUGCGCUAUCAGAUGAGCCUARGUCGGAUUAGCUAGUUGGWGGGGUAAUGGCUCACCAAGGCGACGAUCCSUAACUGGUCUGAGAGGAUGAUCAGUMACMCUGGAACUGARACACGGKCCARACUCCUACGGGAGGSAGCAGUGGGGAAUAUUGRACAAUGGGCGARAGCCUGAUCCAGCCAUGCCGCGUGUGUGAAGAAGGUCUUCGGAUUGUAAAGCACUUUAAGUUGGGAGGAAGGGCARWAASUUAAUACCUUGCUGUUUUGACGUUACCGACAGAAUAAGCACCGGCUAACUCUGUGCCAGCAGCCGCGG
Molecule: ribosomal RNA, 420 nt
Filed under: uncultured bacterium
Lineage: Bacteria
Description: partial 16S ribosomal RNA
Source: RNAcentral